Lagopus muta (rock ptarmigan) is the source of this 2484-nucleotide long non-coding RNA. RefSeq lists it as uncharacterized. The transcript is spliced from 4 exons. The record is from RefSeq and is a predicted model, not a curated record. NCBI's taxonomy places the organism in Eukaryota, Metazoa, Chordata, Aves, Galliformes, Phasianidae.
UGGCAGUGGAGGUGAGGGUGUUUUGCUGGAGAUCUCUUCCUACCUGAGGGUUUCCAAAAUUUCUAUUCUGGGUAAUGAAGGAAAGCCUUUACAUCUGACCAGCCCUGGGUUACUGCUAUUUGGGAAAGGGAAGCUCAGACUGAAGAUGUAGCUGUUUAAAUCUCGGACUGACAUGGAGUUAAUCCAUGGAUGGGAAAGAAUUGCAGUAGCCACCAUGAAGCACUUGCGCUGCUCCUCUGUCAAUUUGCUGAUUCCAGCUAUUGUGGGCUUGUUAUUAUACAUCAGAGUUUUUAAAAAUCAAUUUCCUCCCUUUGCUGGCUUUUCUAUAGGUCUAUCUGGUCCCUCAUUCCUUUUCUGUGAUGUAUCAUGGUACAACUCUUGUACUCUUGUGGUUUGUUUGUAGUAUUGCCCAUAAUGUACUUAGCUUGUGCAAAGCUUUUGACUUGCACUGUUUGGUUAUGUUAGGUCCUUUUUUCUUUCUGUUUUCCUGUAUUUAAAUCAACUUUUUUCUCUGCUGCCUAGAUAAAGGUGAAGAUCUACCUUUUUGAAUUCACUAGGAGACCAACCAGUGUUAAGACAGGGGAGAAAAGACGAUGCUGUUCUAAAGACAAAUUAUAGUGAUAUUACAGAUUCUUACAAAGACUAAAUCGUGUAAUCUCUUAGCUCAAUGUACAGUAUUUCCACAUUGCAGUUCCAAAAUUAUAUCUGUGCUCUACAGAUUUGGAAAAUUAUGUUGUGUCAAAAUUAAUCAAUGCCUUCCUUCCCCUGAAGAUCUCAGUCUGUAACAUCAUUUUCACUUUCUCAGGAAGUAUUUUGUCUUCGUUGCUUUAAGUCUCUACUGGAUGUUUAUUCUUGAAUACAGUCCAUGGCAAAGGACAGAAAUGUACACAGCUGCUAUUUUCAAAAUAAGGGGGUUGGUAUUUGUGGUGCCCUCUUGCUUAACUUGUAGGCAAUUUGUGGUUUUUGGUAAUUAAAGUGGCAUUUCGGGGGGGAAAAAAAGUUAUGUUUUUCUGUAAGAUUUUAAUGAAGUUAUCAUCUUCAUAGCAAUCCCACCUUUACAUCUUCUUAGUUCUAUGAACUUUUGCAGGUCGGCUUUACUGCAGUUGUUAAUGAGUUUUUGCUGUACGGCUAGUAAAGAUUUUGGUCUGCAGUGUUGCACAGUACUUCAAGAACACAAAAUAUGAGUAAAAUAUUUUUGCUAUUAGCUCAUUUGUGCUACUACCUACUUUAUGUCUAACUGGUCACUUAGUAUAAUAAAAUCAAGGUAUAAUUCCAUAUCAGCUGGUACUUAAAGUCACUGCUUCAGUUUCAGAUUGAGGGAGAAUUUGCUGGAGAUGAAGGCAUGUUAUUUCCAAGCAAUAUCAUUUGAUCUGAUUUAUAAAAAAAAAUAUUCUGCUGUGAAGUUGUCUCAUUUACGAUGUAGUAUUGUUGCUGUACAGUUGACAUUAAUGACCUCUAAUGGGGUAGCAGACUGUUUACUUUGCUCUAAUCUCACUGACAUGAAGGAAAUGCCCAUUACAGGCAGGUUUUCCAAAUGCGCAAUCAUUUCCUUUUGUGGAGAACCACAGUGAAAUCUCUAAUUCUCUCAGGGCAGAAGACAUGGCACUUUCUCAUAUAGAGGCCCCUCUCUGGGAUUCAGCUUCUCAGGCAAGCCUUGAGAAAAGACAUCUCCACGUUUGCUAUACUUUCUAUCAUACUCUGUGCUUCCCUAACUACCUCUCUCUGCUUUUCAAAAAUUUAAUUUUCGUAGCACUCCAUGAGGAAUGCAAGACUAACCUAAUUAAAACUAUAGAUAUUAUGGAAGAGUCCUAGAAAUCACCAGCUUUAGAUCAUUCAUUAAAAUAAAUCAACAGCAGUUGAAGAUAACGGCAUCAAACUUCCUUGUUAAAAAGCCAUAAAACAAGUGUGCAGUCAGAACCUCCACAGGUUUAAUAAUCUAUAUAUGUGAGCUUGCUGUUAUCCUGAUUAGGUUACCAAAAUAACAAAUGUUGGUCCUCUCUUAGAUUUUUAAACAUGGCUCUGCCACCCAUGAACUUAUAACAACCAAAAAAACCCAACCUUAUGCACAAGUAUGAGAUGUUACACCGCUGAGAUGCCAUUUGACAUGAAUAAAGAAAUAAAUGAGAUACCAUUUGACAUGAAUUUGACAGGAAUAAAGGAGAAGUCAAUAUUGUGCAUAGGCAAAAGGAAGACCUGCAAAAAGAGUUUAAUAAUUCCUGUGAAAUUAGAAUUAUGUUCUUCCCGUGUGCUGUUUGAGUAACAUGAGUAAUAAAGCGUAGCUUAUUUCACUGAUUGCAGUUUGAUAGAGAAAUCACAUUUUAUUAAGAAAAGCAGGGUUUGUGUCAGCACUUCAACAUCAGGUGUUGAGAAAUUUUAGGGGAGAGGGGAAACCUGCAAAAAAUAUAGAGUUUUUGCUUAGCAGUUGGCCAAAGGAUUUGUUCAGAGAAGCUGUUUGGUUCACUUAACUAGCACAAAGCACAGACA